Long non-coding RNA from Acipenser ruthenus (sterlet), 1393 nucleotides. RefSeq lists it as uncharacterized. The record is from RefSeq and is a predicted model, not a curated record. The transcript has 3 exons. NCBI's taxonomy places the organism in Eukaryota, Metazoa, Chordata, Actinopteri, Acipenseriformes, Acipenseridae.
AACUGUACAACAUUAUAUAUUAGAAUGUAAUAAAUUCAAACAACAAAGAAGACAUUCGAGGUGGAUAAUUUAUCAAUACACAGUAUAUUGAAGGAGAGAAAACAAAAAACAUAUUACAAUACAUACUGACUACUGGAAAAUGGGGAUCUAGACGAAGAUAUGGUAGAAGGGCGUUAGAGGGCGCUCAUCAUCUAUUAGAUCGCAUGCGCCAACUUCCUCUGAACAGAAAAAGCAACCGGAAAAGUAACUGCCAUUAAUACAAAUGGAGUCUGAGGAGCUGCGACCGAGAGACGCGAUGGUGAAUUUACCCAAACACUCCUAUUGGUUCGAUUUUUGGCUGUUUAUUAUUUUUAAUAUAGUACUUUUCUUCGUAGUUUAUCUGUUGUUACCUUAGCGACCAACGCCCACAGCAUAAUAAAAGUAGCACGCUCUUUCAAAUCAUUCAGUUAAGGAGGGUGUGUUCGUUUUCCGGAUUAACUUUUUAUCCUUGUCUUAAUCAGAUGAACACAAGGUGAAUAAACCGUUCUAAAAAAACAUCAGCCAGGACCCCGUGCAAAUAGUCCAACAAUGCAUUGUUCUACCAUAGAAAUUACCCCAGUGGUACAGUUGAGAUGACACUGCUACAGACUGUGCUGUGCAAAAGUCUAUGAUGUGGGAGCAUCAUGUAUAUUUUACAUCAAACUGUUUUCUGUUUAUCACUGGAUGCAGUCCAAAUCUGCGGACAAUGGAAUUCCUCGGAAAUCUCAGAAUUCGCAGGCUCACAUGGAAUAUGCAGUCUUCCACAAAUUGGCAAUAUUCUGCAGCUACAUCAUCAUAAUAACUGUCAUAAGCAGACUGCUAAAGUGCACCUGAAAUACAUAACGGUUGUUUGGUUCUAGUUUUGUUAAAUUAACUGUUUGUCCUCUUCAAAAAGUAGGCGUUAAUUGAAGACUGGAGUAGGCUUUGAAAAUGUGACCCAAUAAGAAGUCUUGUGUUCUGUGAUGUUUUUGCUAGAUGGUUUCUAAAGAUUUUACUGACAAAAAUGCUUGAGAUGUUAAAUUUGAAAUACUUAACCCAUACAUUAUUUGAUAUGAUUGUUUACCUAAUUGACAUUUUUAUAAGCCAUUAUCAAUAUAAAUACUAAAAACAUAAGAUACUGCAGCAUUCUACUUAAAAUACUGGUGUAUCAACAAGUCCCCAUGAAAAAUUAUUUUUUUGUGUUAAUUCUGUUUUGCUUAACAGUAUCUCACUUUGCAAAAAAAAUAAAUAAAAGUGGGUUGUAUAUGAAAUUAAAUCUGAUUUGAUUUUAAUAAAUAUUUCACAAUAUAUACAAAUAUAUAUUUUUCACAGUUAACUGUAACCUUGGCAUUUCUGUAAUACACUGACCCAAAUAAAAGGAAAGUGAAAAAGUCUA